Cyprinodon tularosa is the source of this 506-nucleotide RNA transcript. It is a transcript of the gene named disks large homolog 4-like, with no coding region annotated. NCBI's taxonomy places the organism in Eukaryota, Metazoa, Chordata, Actinopteri, Cyprinodontiformes, Cyprinodontidae. The record is from RefSeq and is a predicted model, not a curated record. The transcript is spliced from 3 exons.
GCGGGGAAAAUGAAGGAAUAUGGUAUACUCAAAAAGCUAAACACAAACGUAAAAAAUCAAGACAACAAACAGAAUCUUCUGUCUCUGAGGCUGAAGGAGAAACAGUUGUGAUGACAGAGUUUAAAUUAGUUUUGAAAACGAUCAAAGAGGGCGUGUCCUUUGGUGGUUCUGGGUUCUGGACUCUAGGAUCCGGUUCUGUCAGGACUUUCAGAGCUCUGUGGGUGGGCGGGGCCUCAGCAGGCCUGACAGGAGCUGAGGAUUAGGACUCCAUCUCCCAGCAUGCAGAGCGGCAGGCAGUGAAAUCCCUAAAGAGGAUUUGUGUGGAUCAGAGGCAACAUGCCGCUGAAGAAGGAAGAUACGGAGCGUGCUCUGCAGGCGAUGGAGGCCUGCCAGGCCGACGCUGCUGAUGGGGUCAAAGGUCGAGCUGAGAAACUGCUCAACAUCUUCCAGAGCGACCUGUUCCAGGCUCUACUAGGUAACACAGCACACAGACACUCCCAGUUUAC